AGUUUAUUUAUCUCCCUCCGAUGUGUCUGUCUGCUUUUGCUUGUCAUUGGGAGGUGUUGCAUACUUGGUCUGAGUGAAGAUGGCUGAGGGCUCCAAAGAGCGGGUUGGCGUGGGCAUCACCGAUCCGGAUGAGGACUCUCCAAACAUGAUUGUCUACAGAAAGAUGGAGGACAUUGUCACAAGAAUACAAGACGAGAAAGCAGGAGGUGUCGCCAUCCGGACUGUCAAAAGCUUCCUGUCAAAGAUCCCCAGCGUGGUAUCAGGGUCGGACAUUGUUCAGUGGCUGAUGAAAAAUCUCUCUAUAGACGAUCCAGCCGAGGCCAUCCACUUGGGAAGUCUGAUUGCCGCUCACGGCUACAUUUUCCCCAUCUCGGACCACGUCCUGGCGCUCAAAGAUGACGGAACUCUUUACCGCUUUCAGUCUCCGUACUUCUGGCCUUCAAACUGCUGGGAACCUGAGAACACAGACUACGCCAUCUACCUGUGCAAGCGCACCAUGCAGAACAAGGCCAGACUGGAGCUAGCUGAUUUUGAGUCUGAGAACCUUUCCCGGCUGCAGAGGGCUUUCGCUAGAAAGUGGGAGUUCAUCUUCAUGCAGGCUGAAGCACAAGUCAAAAUUGACAGAAAGAAGGACAAGGCGGACAGGAAGGUCCUGGACAGCCAAGAGAGGGCUUUCUGGGAUGUUCAUCGACCAGUGCCAGGCUGCGUCAACACCACCGAGAUGGACAUCCGCAAAUGUCGCCGAGAAAAGAACCCACACAGGGUGAAAAAGUCAGUUUACGGGGUGACGGAAGACAGUCAGAGCCAGCCGAGUCCGGUCCACAUCAGCUCUCCGCCGGCUAGAAAGCUCACCCAGGAAGACAUUGAGAAGGAGAUCGGCUUCCUCAACAUCCAGCUAGGCCGACACUGCAUGAAGGUUUCCAAAGUGGCCGAGAGUCUGAUGGGCUACACGGAGCAGUUCACGGAGUACGACCCGUUCGUGUCGGCCAUCGAGCCCUCCAAUCCUUGGAUCAGUGACGACACCUCCUUCUGGGACUUGGAAGCCAGUCAUGACCCGACCCAGCAGCGAGUGAAGAAGUGGGGCUUCUCCUUGGAGGAAGCUCUUAAAGACCCUGCAGGAAGAGACCAGUUCUUGAAGUUCCUUGAGUCUGAGUUCAGUUCAGAGAAUUUACGAUUUUGGUUGGCAGUGCAGGAUCUGAAGCGUCAGCCACUGCAGGACGUCCCCUCGAGGGCUCAGGAAAUUUGGCAGGAGUUUCUAGCCGAAGGCGCACCGAGCUCUAUCAACUUGGACUCUCACAGCUACGAGCGCACUAGCCAAAACCUGAAAGACCCCGGGCGUUACAGCUUUGAAGACGCUCAGGAGCACAUAUUCACAUUAAUGAAAAGUGACAGCUAUGCACGCUUUUUGCGAUCCACCAUCUACCAAGACCUCCUGUUUGCCAGAAAAAAGAACACUGUGUAGUGUAAUAUGGAUCAUUGAAGCAAAUCGCUACUUGUGUUCACGCCAGCUUUUUUGUCCCUUCCUGCUUCAACACCACUCCUGCCGCUGCCUGCCCCGCACCUCCAUGUUUGUUGACUUGACCCUUCAUUAUUGCACUACCUGACAAAUUUCCCCCAUUGACUAAUAACACCCCCGCCCAUUCCAUCGACCCCUUUGCUUGACCCGUACCAUGCUCCUCCCUUAGCAACAACCCGCAGACCCUGAACAAGGUCGCCGUACAUCCUUGGAGAAGUUCACCCGCAGUGUGGGCAAGUCGUUGACGGGCAAACGUCUAUCGGGCCUGAUGCAGUCAUCCUGACACAUUCUGUUUGUGUGGGGCACAGUGAGCCCCCACCAUGAGGGGCGACCACACGGAUCAGGGCCAGUCGUCGGCACUAAAACGCGGCCGCACGACGGUGAGCCUGCCGAGGAGGACUCCGAGACCGGACGUGGUGGCGGGAAGGCAGCGCUGAAUAGAGGGACAGCAUGGCCUCUUUACACAAUGGGUUGUUGGUUGGGUAAACUGAUACAUUUAUAUUUUAUAUCAAUGUAUUCUGUCUCUGUCUAAAAGCACAUUUGGAAAAUAAAAGCUGAAAACAAUU
Molecule: RNA transcript, 2082 nt
Organism: Corythoichthys intestinalis (scribbled pipefish)
Lineage: Eukaryota; Metazoa; Chordata; Actinopteri; Syngnathiformes; Syngnathidae
Gene name: regulator of G-protein signaling 6-like
Exons: 17
Source: RefSeq, a predicted model, not a curated record